Molecule: non-coding RNA, 95 nt
Filed under: Weissella oryzae
Lineage: Bacteria; Bacillati; Bacillota; Bacilli; Lactobacillales; Lactobacillaceae
Also listed under: 1 other name
Description: Guanine sequence
Rfam family: Purine riboswitch aptamer
About the family: Riboswitches are metabolite binding domains within certain messenger RNAs that serve as precision sensors for their corresponding targets. Allosteric rearrangement of mRNA structure is mediated by ligand binding, and this results in modulation of gene expression.
Source: RNAcentral
GCAUAAUAUAAACAGUUUCGUGAUAUAUAUCCGGAGAAUGGCCGGACGUUUCUACCCCAGACCGAUUUGGGACUAUCGCCAAAACCACACAACCA